GGUUGAUUACAUUAAUAUCCUGUCUUUCCUCUAGGAAACGCAAUGCACAUGGGUAACCAAGCAGUCUCAAAUCCUGAUGUGUUUGAGAAUGCCAAUGACUGUUACUUCAUGGGUACAGAAAUUGGGCCAAGGGAAGCACUGGUAGAAUGUAUCCCUCUUCCCAGGUAUUUGGUGAGAGGAGAACUUGUUGCCUUAAAAUUGUUUCCAAGUAAUGUAAAACUUACUUUGAAUGUAAUGUAAAACAGCAUCUUAAAAAGUAGAGACAUCACUUUGCCAACAAAGGUCUGUAUAGUAAAAGCUAUGGUUUUCCCAGUAGUGAUGUAUGGAAGUGAGAGCUGGACCAUAAGGAAGGCUGAUCGCCGAAGAAUUUAUGCUUUUGAAUAAUGGUGUUUGAGGAGACUCUUGAGAGUCCCAUGGACUGCAAGAAGAUCAAACCUCUCCAUUCUUAAGGAAAUCAGCCCUGAGUGCUCACUGGAAGGACAGAUCGUGAAGCUGAGGCUCCAAUACUUUGGCCACCUCAUGAGAAGAGAAGACUCCCUUGAAAAGACCCUGAUGUUGGGAAAGGAGAAGGGGACGACAGAGGACGUGAUGGUUGGAUAGUGUUCGCGAAGCUACCAGCAUGGGUUUGGCCAAACUGCGGGAGGCAGUGGAAGAUAGAAGUGCCUGGUGUGCUCUGGUCCAUGGGGUCACGAAGAGUCAGACACGACUAAACGACUAAACAACAACAACAGUGUAAAACUUUGUCAUUCCACCCUUAAUGCCUGUCCUCCUGUACUGAGCAAUUAAUUAAUUACUUGCAUUUUUGCACUGAGGUGUCUCUAAGCAACAAUAAAAACAGAAAUAAUAGAAACAACAAGCCAUGUUUGAAGGUCAGCUAGCAAUAAUUACUUUUUAGGGUGCAACAAACCACUAUCCAUAGUUUAGAUGUAAUGAAAAGCCAAGGCCUCCUGAUAGCUAAUUCCACUUUUGCGACAGUAGGAGCAAAGAAGGAGUGAUUGGUUUGCAUGCACAAGCGUGGGGCUUUUCAUGGAGUUUGGUCUAUUAUGUGUGGACAUGACACAUGACCCAGAAGCUACAUUUCUUUCUAUAUAUUCCAAGACUUUAUCCACCAAGGAGAAACAUUGACCUUAAUACUUGGCUAGCUGCUCUAUAAUGCCUGCAAUAUUGCUUCUAAUAAAGCUUCCGAUUUUACUGCAAUUGUUGCCUUUUGGGAAAGAAUUUGGGACAUUCAUGACACAUAUAAAUGGUUACAUAAAAAACCAAUCAGCAGAGAUUAUGACUGAUUGGGUUAGAGAUGAAAGCAGUCUCUCUCAGUUGUAUUUUUAUCCUCUGGAGAACCACAUUUCUCUGAAGUGCUUUGAUGACACUGGUCAAUAAAGCAGCAAAAGCAAAUGAUAUAUGGCAAAUCUCAAUCUUAGUGCUGUCCUACUUUUCAUUGCCUUUUCGAGAACUGCAAGUGAAACUGGUGUUUCCUUUACCACUUAACCUGACUUUUAUUUCAACAGUCCAUAUUGAUAAUGUGCCAGGUAGCCAACACAAGAUCUGAAUUGCUUCAUUGGCUUAUUGCUCCAUUGGCUCUUGUGAUCUACACAGCAACAACUGGAUUUCAAUGCAGAUUGGAGGAAAUAAUACUUGCUGCAUUUACCAUUUUUGUUGUUGCUGCUCAUAUCCACUAUGGAGUCUGUGUGGUAAAAUAUGAGCUUUUAUCAUAAUUACUAAUAAAUACAGAUUGUAUUUGACUGCCUUCAAAAAGAAUGUGGGGACUAGAAUGAAAAUGAAAAGGAAUAAUGCCUUCCAUUUUGGGGGAUGUGUGGCUACCUGAUAUUUUUCCUUUUAGUAACUAAGUUUCCUUGGGCUGCCUUCAGCUUGGAGGGUGUGUGUAAUUUUUAAGAGGCCUGGAAUAGAAGUAGUAAGAAUGUGACUCUUUGGGUUUAUGAAACAAACUCAGGUUUUCAGUCAUGUAAUUUUUUCUAACACAACAGUAGUCAUUUCUGUAAAUCAUUGCCUUGAAACACCAUUUUACUGUAAAAUCCACAGUAAAUUGCUGCCUAACAAGGAACAUCUGCCAGUAUUUAUUCUCUUGCAAACAUCUCAACAUUAUUGGCUCAGAUAUGUCUGGAUAGUAUCAGGAGCAGGAAAUGCCAAAGCAAGUUUUUCUUAUUGAGGAACAUCGCCUGAACUCUAGCAAAAAGCAUCCACUCAGUAUGAAAAUCAUUCUGUAAUAAAUCUUGUCUUGCUUUAAGCAAGGCUGGAUGCAAGUUCUAAAGUGUGCUUAUGUCUGGAGGCAUAAUAGGUAUACAAAUAAAAGUAAUGUUUAAAAUUUGCAGUGUAAUGCAAUCUAGAAAAGUUAUAUCCGCAGCAGCUUUUGUGUCUUUAGUUUUAAAUAUUUGAAAAUAAUAUAACUAUAUAUAACAUGAUACUUUGGCUAGGUAUUCAAACUAUGGUGACUCUUCUCUAAGACAGGGAUAGAGAAAUUUGUGGCCCUCCAGAGUCUCCCAAAUUUUGUCAGCUUCAGCCAAGAGAGCCAAUUGUCGGGGAUUAUGGGAGGUAUAGUCCAACAGCAUUUGGAAGAACACACAUUUCCCUAACCCUGGUCCAGGACUAGAUUACUAGUAUUUUGUGAUUUUAUCUUGUGAACCACCCUGAGACCUGCAGGUAUAGGGUGGUAUACAAAUGUUGUUGUUAAUAAUAAUAAUAAUAAUUUGCCUAUGUGGUGAUGAACAUUAGUGUUUUUGUUUCUUUCAUUUUGUUUAUUUUAAACAACACUUUCCCCGUAGUGAUUUGCAACAAUGCAUCC
This is a non-coding RNA of Podarcis lilfordi (Lilford's wall lizard), 2797 nucleotides long. Lineage: Eukaryota; Metazoa; Chordata; Lepidosauria; Squamata; Lacertidae. The record is from the annotation of a GenBank genome assembly.